This 465-nucleotide ribosomal RNA is filed under the name Vreelandella stevensii. RNAcentral's name for it is "partial 16S ribosomal RNA". It matches the Rfam family "Bacterial small subunit ribosomal RNA", at positions 338 to 795 of the family's 1533-position model. The record is from RNAcentral. Lineage: Bacteria; Pseudomonadati; Pseudomonadota; Gammaproteobacteria; Oceanospirillales; Halomonadaceae.
CCUACGGGUGGCUGCAGUGGGGAAUAUUGGACAAUGGGGGGAACCCUGAUCCAGCCAUGCCGCGUGUGUGAAGAAGGCCCUCGGGUUGUAAAGCACUUUCAGUGAGGAAGAACGCCUGGUGGUUAAUACCCAUCAGGAAAGACAUCACUCACAGAAGAAGCACCGGCUAACUCCGUGCCAGCAGCCGCGGUAAUACGGAGGGUGCGAGCGUUAAUCGGAAUUACUGGGCGUAAAGCGCGCGUAGGUGGCUUGAUAAGCCGGUUGUGAAAGCCCCGGGCUCAACCUGGGAACGGCAUCCGGAACUGUCAAGCUAGAGUGCAGGAGAGGAAGGUAGAAUUCCCGGUGUAGCGGUGAAAUGCGUAGAGAUCGGGAGGAAUACCCGUGGCGAAGGCGGCCUUCUGGACUGACACUGACACUGAGGUGCGAAAGCGUGGGUAGCAAACAGGAUUAGAUACCCUAGUAGUC